UGCGUAGGGUGCGAGCGUUAAUCGGAAUUACUGGGUGUAAAGCGUGCGCAGGCGGUUCUGUAAGACAGAUGUGAAAUCCCCGGGCUUAACCUGGGAACUGCGUUUGUGACUGAAAGGCUAGAGUACGGCAGAGGGGGGUGGAAUUCCGCGUGUAGCAGUGAAAUGCGUAGAGAUGUGGAGGAACACCGAUGGCGAAGGCAGCCUCCUGGGCCAGUACUGACGCUCAUGCACGAAAGCGUGGGGAGCAAACAGG
This 253-nucleotide ribosomal RNA is filed under the name uncultured bacterium. RNAcentral describes it as "partial 16S ribosomal RNA". It matches the Rfam family "Bacterial small subunit ribosomal RNA", at positions 524 to 776 of the family's 1533-position model. The record is from RNAcentral.